UCUUUGAUAACUUUCUCAGGAAGAAGAGCGAGGUCGGGCCUGCCUGAGGGGACACUCCCCACCAUCCCUCACGCCGCCGGAAAAUUAAAUAAUGUAAACAGGGACUCUGGUGUGACUGGUUCAGUAUAGGGGAGUCGAGUCUUCAUUCACACGUCUCUUAAGUCUCCGUCAACUGGUGACAGAGCUGGAGUUGGAACCGACACACCAAGCUUCUGUUAGUCUGUCUACCGCUGUUGCUGCUGACUACUGCUUCUGCUGCUGAUUACUGUUUCAACUGCUGACUGCUGUUGACUGUUUCCUGUCGACUAUUGGCUAACGGUUGAUAAAGAGUACUGCUGCUAGUGGCUAUUGCUUCCUGACGAUUGCUGCUGGUUGACGGCUGCUGACAUCACUUGGUAGUGCCUAAUGACUGGUACUCCCUGCUGAACACUGGUUUCAACUAAGAACUGUUUGGCCAGCUAAACUAUUAACGCUACAUCGUAAUGGAUAAUAUUCCCUGAACUGACAAAAAUCCCUGAACACUUGCCUAUAUCCGACACCUACUUGUGGGGCAUAAAUGACCCUUAAGUACUUGUAGACUACAACUGUAAUUAUGAAUAUUGAGUUUUCAAAAGUUUGUUUCGAGAUAGAGUCGCGGCCUUUAAUAAGCACUUUGACCUGACUUCUCUACAAGCAACGUACUGAGUGAUAAACAUCACUGAGUUGGCCUCUCUCCAAGCAACAUUGACUUAUUCAUUG
This is a long non-coding RNA of Homarus americanus (American lobster), 738 nucleotides long. RefSeq lists it as uncharacterized. NCBI's taxonomy places the organism in Eukaryota, Metazoa, Arthropoda, Malacostraca, Decapoda, Nephropidae. The transcript is spliced from 4 exons. The record is from RefSeq and is a predicted model, not a curated record.